Molecule: transfer RNA, 65 nt
Filed under: Euwallacea interjectus
Lineage: Eukaryota; Metazoa; Arthropoda; Insecta; Coleoptera; Curculionidae
Description: tRNA-Phe
Source: RNAcentral
AUUUAGAUAGCUUAAGUUCAAGCAUAGUAUUGAAGAUACUAAGAUGGUUUGUAAACCUUUAGAUA